Austrofundulus limnaeus is the source of this 566-nucleotide long non-coding RNA. RefSeq lists it as uncharacterized. The transcript is spliced from 5 exons. Lineage: Eukaryota; Metazoa; Chordata; Actinopteri; Cyprinodontiformes; Rivulidae. The record is from RefSeq and is a predicted model, not a curated record.
UACUCUUAAUUUGUUUGCUUUAUAUUCUGGGUCUUAUCAUUGUGUGUUGUUGGAUUGUUGUUUUCUGAACCUGUGUUUUGUCCCUUGUUCAGUCCUCCUGCUGCCCGUGUCUCCAAAAGAAACCUAUGCACUGAAAAGAUAUUUGCAGAGGCCUGUAGCUGAUGCAGAAGGACCUUCACUCACAUCUUCACCAGCUGCUGAAGAAUUUGAAGGAACCAGCAGACCGUUACACAUCCUGAGGACACUGCAUCUUCUGUAACACACCAGAUUUUUGUGAGUCCAUCAAAGCAGCCUGUUGAUGACAUCAUUCUGACACAGUGAGGACUGUUUGUCAGCAGAGGACCUAUCAGUUUAUUUUAUUUAGCAGUAUCUGCAAGAGGAUUCUCUACUAAUAUAUUAUUCAGAAAAACAAGCUGUGCAAGUGUUCAGCAGAGUUGAGAAACAAACCAUCAGGGGAGCAUCAGCACACUCAGGUAAACAAGUUUGGUGACAAACAUCUGAGAGACGAGGAACUCAGGAUGAGAUCUGAAAACAUCUUCUGGAGCUUCAUGGUGCUGCUGGCAGGU